Paramisgurnus dabryanus is the source of this 309-nucleotide long non-coding RNA. RefSeq lists it as uncharacterized. The record is from RefSeq and is a predicted model, not a curated record. NCBI's taxonomy places the organism in Eukaryota, Metazoa, Chordata, Actinopteri, Cypriniformes, Cobitidae.
CACUGAGUGCUUCAAAUCAUUCAGAAGAGAUGCUGUUUUUAGGGCAGUUUAUUAAAGAAGACCUGACAUGGAUGACUUCCAAUGAGAAACGACUGCUAAUACUUAUAUAAAUUCAUUACAGAAGGACCCUACCAGACUAUAUUUGAAUACGGCAUACCCAUGAAUUCUGGAACUGUUAUUCCUUAACCCAGUUUGGAGGAUAAGAGCUUACCAACUAGUUUUAAAUAUGCUGAGGUGAUGUAUUGCAAAAUAGCCAACAUACAACAAUAUGGAUGACCCUCUGUCUGGUCAACAGGAGUUUAAAUAUGG